AGUUAAUAAGUUUUAUAGAAACAUGUACUUUGAAAGUACAAAAUAGAGAUUAAAAUCUCUAUUAACUU
RNAcentral lists this transfer RNA (68 nucleotides) under Phraortes sp. 1 NS-2020. Its description in RNAcentral is "tRNA-Ser". It matches the Rfam family "tRNA". Rfam says of the family: Transfer RNA (tRNA) molecules are approximately 80 nucleotides in length. Their secondary structure includes four short double-helical elements and three loops (D, anti-codon, and T loops). Further hydrogen bonds mediate the characteristic L-shaped molecular structure. tRNAs have two regions of fundamental functional importance: the anti-codon, which is responsible for specific mRNA codon recognition, and the 3' end, to which the tRNAs corresponding amino acid is attached (by aminoacyl-tRNA synthetases). tRNAs cope with the degeneracy of the genetic code in two manners: having more than one tRNA (with a specific anti-codon) for a particular amino acid; and 'wobble' base-pairing, i.e. permitting non-standard base-pairing at the 3rd anti-codon position. Lineage: Eukaryota; Metazoa; Arthropoda; Insecta; Phasmatodea; Lonchodidae. The record is from RNAcentral.